GAUGAACGCUGGCGGCGUGCCUAAUACAUGCGAGUCGAGCGAACGGACGAGAAGCUUGCUUCUCUGAUGUUGGCGGCGGACGGGUGAGUAACACGUGGAUAACCUACCUAUAAGACUGGGAUAACUUCGGGAAACCGGAGCUAAUACCGGAUAAUAUUUUGAACCGCAUGGUUCAAAAGUGAAAGACGGUCUUGCUGUCACUUAUAGAUGGAUCCGCGCUGCAUUAGCUAGUUGGUAAGGUAACGGCUUACCAAGGCAACGAUGCAUAGCCGACCUGAGAGGGUGAUCGGCCACACUGGAACUGAGACACGGUCCAGACUCCUACGGGAGGCAGCAGUAGGGAAUCUUCCGCAAUGGGCGAAAGCCUGACGGAGCAACGCCGCGUGAGUGAUGAAGGUCUUCGGAUCGUAAAACUCUGUUAUUAGGGAAGAACAUAUGUGUAAGUAACUGUGCACAUCUUGACGGUACCUAAUCAGAAAGCCACGGCUAACUACGUG
RNAcentral lists this ribosomal RNA (497 nucleotides) under uncultured bacterium. Its description in RNAcentral is "partial 16S ribosomal RNA". It matches the Rfam family "Bacterial small subunit ribosomal RNA", at positions 28 to 507 of the family's 1533-position model. The record is from RNAcentral.